Molecule: ribosomal RNA, 305 nt
Filed under: uncultured bacterium
Lineage: Bacteria
Description: bacterial SSU rRNA
Rfam family: Bacterial small subunit ribosomal RNA
Source: RNAcentral
AAUCCUACGGGAGGCAGCAGUGGGGAAUAUUGCACAAUGGGGGAAACCCUGAUGCAGCGACGCCGCGUGAGAGAAGAAGUAUUUCGGUAUGUAAAGCUCUAUCAGCAGGGAAGAAAAUGACGGUACCUGACUAAGAAGCUCCGGCUAAAUACGUGCCAGCAGCCGCGGUAAUACGUAUGGAGCAAGCGUUAUCCGGAUUUACUGGGUGUAAAGGGAGCGUAGACGGCAGGGCAAGUCUGAUGUGAAAGGCCAGGGCUCAACCCUGGGACUGCAUUGGAAACUGUUUAGCUGGAGUGUCGGAGAGG